ACACGUUUAACGAAAAAAAACUUGAAUUAGGAAAAGGGAUAGGGUUACAUGUUAUGGCCAUUGGAAUUCAUCUGAAAAGCUCUCUCUCUCUCGGACCUCGACGAACUAGCGCGGCGGCCGGAACCUCAUCUCCUCGCAUCAAUUUCUCCGAUCAAAUCGUCUCUCUCAGAGCCUCAUCUCUUGGCCUUGCUUUCACUCUCAGAUUCAACUCACCGCGCCGGUGAAUACUUCACGGCGGCGGCGUCUCAGUUCACUCGUUGCACAAAUCUCUCGUCUCAAGACGCUAAUCAAACUCUUCUGAUUUCACUCUCGAUCUUUAUGCUUCUCACAUCUCUCUGUCAUCGAUCUCAUCUCUCCAUCCGGCGAUUCUUUGAGUAUGACGAUAGUGAUAAGAAAACCAGAGAGGAUAUUCUUCAUGAACUGCGUUUUUGCGUUGAUGAUGAUGUUUACGGUGAGUUCUUAAGGAUGAGAUAGAAUUGAUGGAGAAUCGAGAGAGUUUUUCUUCAGAGUUUGUUACAAGGUGUUCAAUUCUGUUACAGAGAUUUUCUCCUUCUUUUUUGUUGAAUUUUCUUUGGUGAUUUUAAUCGGAGAGGUGAAGAAGAUCAAGAAGUUUGAAUGAUGGUGGUCAAGAGGUUCUUUAAGUAGGUGAGGGAAGGAGAUGAUUGAAAUGAUGAUUGUGGAGAGUUGAAGGUGAAUUGGUGUUGAUGAUUUUCUGGUUUUUUUUAAUCGAUAAUGAAGAAGAGAGAAAGAUGAAGGAAUGUGAGAGAGAUGAAGGAUAAUGAUGAAUUCAGAGAAUAUGCAAAGAUUGAGGUGAAGGAAGCUGAUUUCUGUUACAGAAUCGGUUGGAUCCAAUGGUGAGCAUGGUUCGGUCCUUAUUAUGUAGGUUGCGGUUUAGUUAUGGUCCAUUGGUUUGUAUUGAUGCAGAUUGUGGAUCUGUUGUUCUGAAUAUGCAGGGUCCUUGUGUCAGCAUUUUUGGUUAAGGCAUUGGCAAUUUCUCUUGCUUGGGAUCAUUUUUACAUGAUGAUGACAUCCAUGGUGGCAUAAAGUUUACAGCAGAUUCCAAGCCAUGAUUUGAUGGAGGUCAUGAAGAAUAAAAUGGAUGAAGAUGAUUUCCGAGAAUUGAUCAAGGAUAACAAUAGGAUUAGUAACCGAACUUUGUAUUUUUCAAUAACAAUUGUAUGUCAUGUGAGUGUUGUAAUGAUGUAAUUGCAUCUUGGGUUUGAAAUGUAUGGACGUUUGAUUUUUGGAUAUGUACAAUGUAAUGAAUGAUGAUAUUGAAAUGCCUUGAAUUAGUGACGUAAUGGACUUGAACUGUCGCAUAAUGGAAUCGACUUUGAACCA
Vicia villosa (hairy vetch) is the source of this 1341-nucleotide long non-coding RNA. RefSeq lists it as uncharacterized. The transcript is spliced from 3 exons. NCBI's taxonomy places the organism in Eukaryota, Viridiplantae, Streptophyta, Magnoliopsida, Fabales, Fabaceae. The record is from RefSeq and is a predicted model, not a curated record.